Molecule: transfer RNA, 70 nt
Filed under: Dipodomys ordii (Ord's kangaroo rat)
Lineage: Eukaryota; Metazoa; Chordata; Mammalia; Rodentia; Heteromyidae
Rfam family: tRNA
About the family: Transfer RNA (tRNA) molecules are approximately 80 nucleotides in length. Their secondary structure includes four short double-helical elements and three loops (D, anti-codon, and T loops).
Source: Rfam by way of RNAcentral
GGGAAUGUGACUUAGUGGUUGAGUGCUUGCCUGGCAUGCAGGAAACCCUGGGUUCAAUUCCUCAGUACCA